RNAcentral lists this ribosomal RNA (468 nucleotides) under uncultured bacterium. Its description in RNAcentral is "partial 16S ribosomal RNA". It matches the Rfam family "Bacterial small subunit ribosomal RNA", at positions 28 to 507 of the family's 1533-position model. The record is from RNAcentral.
GACGAACGCUGGCGGCGUGCUUAACACAUGCAAGUCGAACGGAAAGGCCCUGCUUUUGUGGGGUGCUCGAGUGGCGAACGGGUGAGUAACACGUGAGUAACCUGCCCUUGACUUUGGGAUAACUUCAGGAAACUGGGGCUAAUACCGGAUAGGAGCUCCUGCUGCAUGGUGGGGGUUGGAAAGUUUCGGCGGUUGGGGAUGGACUCGCGGCUUAUCAGCUUGUUGGUGGGGUAGUGGCUUACCAAGGCUUUGACGGGUAGCCGGCCUGAGAGGGUGACCGGCCACAUUGGGACUGAGGUACGGCCCAGACUCCUACGGGAGGCAGCAGUGGGGAAUAUUGCACAAUGGGCGGAAGCCUGAUGCAGCAACGCCGCGUGCGGGAUGACGGCCUUCGGGUUGUAAACCGCUUUCGCCUGUGACGAAGCGUGAGUGACGGUAAUGGGUAAAGAAGCGCCGGCUAACUACGUG